Molecule: microRNA, 23 nt
Filed under: Paeonia lactiflora (Chinese peony)
Lineage: Eukaryota; Viridiplantae; Streptophyta; Magnoliopsida; Saxifragales; Paeoniaceae
Description: pla-miR11607
Source: miRBase by way of RNAcentral
GAUCACUCGGUUGUCUGACACAC